UGCCGCGACCCCAGCCCGGCCGUGAGGCCCGCAGGGGCCAUGGCGAAGAAGAGCGCCGAGAACGGCAUCUGUAGCGUGUCCGGCGACCAGAAGAAGGGCCCCCUCAUCGCGCCCGGGCCUGACGGGGCCCGGGCCAAGGGCGACGGCCCCGCGGGCCUGGGGACACCCGGCGGUGGCCUGGCCGUGCCGGCGCGCGCGAUAGACCUGGACGCGCCAGAUGGACUUCAUCAUGUCGUGUGUGGGCUUCGCCGUGGAUCUGGGCAACGUGUGGCGCUUCCCCUACCUGUGCUACAAGAAUGGCGGAGGUGUGUUCCUUAUUCCCUGCAUCCUGAUAGCCCUGGUCGGAGGAAUCCCCAUUUUCUUCUUGGAGAUCUCGCUGGGCCAGUUCAUGAAGGCCGGCAGCAUCAAUGUCUGGAACAUCUGUCCCUUGUUCAAAGGCCUGGGCUAUGCCUCCAUGGUGAUCGUCUUCUACUGCAACACCUACUACAUCAUGGUGCUGGCCUGGGGCUUCUAUUACCUGGUCAAGUCCUUUACCACCACGCUGCCCUGGGCCACAUGUGGCCACACCUGGAACACUCCCGACUGUGUGGAGAUCUUCCGCCAUGAAGACUGUGCCAGUGCCAGCCUGGCCAACCUCACUUGUGACCAGCUUGCUGACCGCCGGUCCCCUGUCAUCGAGUUCUGGGAGAACAAAGUCUUGAGGCUGUCUGGGGGACUGGAGGUGCCAGGGGCCCUCAACUGGGAGGUGACCCUUUGUCUGCUGGCCUGCUGGGUGCUGGUCUACUUCUGUGUCUGAAAGGGGGUCAAAUCCAUGGGAAAGAUCGUGUACUUCACUGCUACAUUCCCCUACGUGGUCCUGGUCGUGCUGCUUGUGCUUGGAGUGCUGCUGCCUGGCACCCUGGACAGCAUCAUUUACUAUCUCAAGCCUGACUGGUCAAAGCUGGGGUCCCCUCAGGUAUGGAUAGAUGUGGGGACCCAGAUUUUCUUUUCUUAUGCCAUUGGCCUGGGGGCCCUCACAGCCCUGGGCAGCUACAACCGCUUCAACAACAACUGCUACAAUGGGACCAGCUUCUUUGCUGGCUUCGUGGUCUUCUCCAUCCUGGGCUUCAUGGCUGCAGAGCAGGGCAUGCACAUCUCCAAGGUGGCAGAGUCAGGGCCGGGCCUGGCCUUCAUCGCCUACCCACAGGCUGUCACACUGAUGCCAGUGGCCCCACUCUGGGCUGCCCUGUUCUUCUUCAUGCUGUUGCUGCUUGGUCUCGACAGCCAGUUUGUAGGUGUGGAGGGCUUCAUCACCGGCCUCCUCAACCUCCUCCCAGCCUCCUACUACUUCUGUUUCCAAAGGGAGAUCUCUGUGGCCCUCUGUUGUGCCCUCCGCUUUGUCAUUGAUCUCUCCAUGGUGACUGAUGGUGGGAUGUAUGUCUUCCAGCUGUUUGACUACUACUCAGCCAGCGGCACCACCCUGCUCUGGCAGGCCUUUUGGGAGUGCGUGGUGGUGGCCUGGGUGUAUGGAGCUGACCGCUUCACGGACGACAUUGCCUGUAUGAUCGGGUACCGACCUUGCCCCUGGAUGAAAUGGUGCUGGUCCUUCUUCACCCCGCUGGUUUGCAUGGGCAUCUUCAUCUUCAACGUUGUGUACUACGAGCCGCUGGUCUACAACAACACCAACGUGUACCCGUGGUGGGGUGAGGCCAUGGGCUGGGCCUUCGUGCUGUCCUCCAUGCUGUGCAUGCCACUGCACCUCCUGGGCUGCCUCCUCAGGGCCAAGGGCACCAUGGCUGAGUGCUGGAAGCACCUGACCCAGACCAUCUGGGGCCUCCACCACUUGGAGUACCGAGCUCAGGAUGCAGAUGUCAGGGGCCUGACCACCCUGACCCCAGUGUCCGAGAGCAGCAAGGUCGUCGUGGUGGAGAGUGUCAUGGGACAGCUCAGCUCACAUCACCAGCUCACCUCUGGUCUGUGGGGCAAGAGGCUGCAAUAUUCCAUCCUGGGUGUCUGGGCUGCUAACCUGGCCUGCUCAGGCUUCCCACCCUGUGCCCUGGGCUGGGCACACCCCCGGGAAGGGACCCCGGACACGGCUCCCACAUCCAGGCUCAAGGCGGAUGCACUUCCUGCACCUCCAGUCUUCUGUGUAGCGGCUUUAACCCACGUAUGUCUGUCACGUCCAGUCCCGAGACGGCUGAGUGACCCCAAGAAAGGCUUCCCUGACACCCGGACAGAGGCUGGAGGGCUGGGGCUGCGUGAGGGUGGUGGGCCUGCGGGGACAUUCUUACUGUGCUAAAAAGCCACUGCAAACAUAGCAAUAAAAACCUGUCAUUUUCCAAAGCAGGCCUCU
This is an RNA transcript of Homo sapiens (human), 2332 nucleotides long. It is a transcript of the gene named solute carrier family 6 member 8 pseudogene, with no coding region annotated. The transcript is spliced from 14 exons. The record is from RefSeq and is a predicted model, not a curated record. NCBI's taxonomy places the organism in Eukaryota, Metazoa, Chordata, Mammalia, Primates, Hominidae.